Molecule: ribosomal RNA, 406 nt
Filed under: uncultured bacterium
Lineage: Bacteria
Description: partial 16S ribosomal RNA
Rfam family: Bacterial small subunit ribosomal RNA
Source: RNAcentral
AUUGAACGCUGGCGGCAGGCCUAACACAUGCAAGUCGAACGAGUGGCGGACGGGUGAGUAAUGUCUGGGAAACUGCCUUAUGGAGGGGGAUAACUACUGGAAACGGUAGCUAAUACCGCAUACCAUCGGAUGUGCCCAGAUGGGCUUAGCUAGUCGAGGGGGUAAAGGCUCACCUCGGCGACGCUGCCUAGCUGGUCUGAGAGGAUGACAAGCCACACUGGAACGGAGACACGGUCCAGACUCCUACGGGAGGCAGCAGUGAGGAAUAUUGCACAAUGGGAGAAAGCCUGAUGCAGCCAUGCCGCGUGUAUGAAGAAGACCUUCGGGUUGUAAAGUACUUUCAGCGGGGAGGCGUUACCCGCAGAAGAAGAACCGGCUAACUCCGUGCCAGCAGCCGCGGUAAUAC